GACGAACGCUGGCGGCGUGCCUAAUACAUGCAAGUAGAACGCUGAAGAGAGGAGCUUGCUCUUCUUGGAUGAGUUGCGAACGGGUGAGUAACGCGUAGGUAACCUGCCUUGUAGCGGGGGAUAACUAUUGGAAACGCUAGCUAAUACCGCAUAACAAUGGGUGACACUUGUCAUUUAUUUGAAAGGGCCAAUUGCUCCACUACAAGAUGGACUUGCGUUGUAUUAGCUAGUAGGUGGGGUAAUGGCUCACCUAGGCGACGAUACAUAGCCGACCUGAGAGGGGGAUCGGCCGCACUGGGGCGGAGACGCGGCCCAGACUCCUACGGGAGGCAGCAGUAGGGAAUCUUCGGCAAUGGGGGCAACCCUGACCGAGCAACGCCGCGUGAGUGAAGAAGGUUUUCGGAUCGUAAAGCUCUGUUGUAAGUCAAGAACGGGUGUGGGAGUGGAAAGUUCUCACUGUGACGGUAGCUUACCAGAAAGGGACGGCUAACUACGUG
This 497-nucleotide ribosomal RNA is filed under the name uncultured bacterium. RNAcentral describes it as "partial 16S ribosomal RNA". It matches the Rfam family "Bacterial small subunit ribosomal RNA", at positions 28 to 507 of the family's 1533-position model. The record is from RNAcentral.